GGAGAGAUGUCCGAGUGGUUUAAGGAGAAGGUCUUGAAAACCUUUGUGGCAGCAAUGUCACCGUGAGUUCGAAUCUCACUCUCUCCGCUA
This 90-nucleotide transfer RNA is filed under the name Candidatus Levybacteria bacterium RBG_13_35_9. RNAcentral describes it as "tRNA-Ser". It matches the Rfam family "tRNA". From Rfam's summary of the family: Transfer RNA (tRNA) molecules are approximately 80 nucleotides in length. Their secondary structure includes four short double-helical elements and three loops (D, anti-codon, and T loops). The record is from RNAcentral. Lineage: Bacteria; Candidatus Levyibacteriota.